Molecule: ribosomal RNA, 175 nt
Filed under: Brevibacillus brevis
Lineage: Bacteria; Bacillati; Bacillota; Bacilli; Caryophanales; Paenibacillaceae
Description: partial 16S ribosomal RNA
Rfam family: Bacterial small subunit ribosomal RNA
Source: RNAcentral
CUUUAUUGGAGAGUUUGAUCCUGGCUCAGGACGAACGCUGGCGGCGUGCCUAAUACAUGCAAGUCGAGCGAGUCUCUUUCAGAGGCUAGCGGCGGACGGGUGAGUAACACGUAGGCAACCUGCCUCUCAGACUGGGAUAACAUAGGGAAACUUAUGCUAAUACCGGAUGGGUUUU